CCAUCCGAUGAAAGAAGCAGGACAAUGGAACAUAUCCAUUGAUUUUUUGUCAACUCCAAAUUUUGACCUUUAGUUAAGCGUGCUUGGGGGAGAGUAGUACUAGGACGGGUGACCUCCCGGGAAGUCCUCGUGUUGCAUCCC
Arabidopsis thaliana (thale cress) is the source of this 141-nucleotide non-coding RNA. The record is from Rfam. NCBI's taxonomy places the organism in Eukaryota, Viridiplantae, Streptophyta, Magnoliopsida, Brassicales, Brassicaceae.